Molecule: long non-coding RNA, 675 nt
Filed under: Amborella trichopoda
Lineage: Eukaryota; Viridiplantae; Streptophyta; Magnoliopsida; Amborellales; Amborellaceae
Description: long non-coding RNA (ATRI_LNC001390)
Source: RNAcentral
UCAACCUUCAAGUGCCCAUUCCAAGAAAUACUAGACCUCUUUUUCAGCAGUGGAUAACAUCGGGGAUUUCUAAGAUUGGUUCUAUCCUUUGGAGGUCAGUUUGGGUGAGCGUGCUUUGGGGAAUAUGAAAGGAGCAAACUAUAAGAGUCUUCCAGGGAGUGGUAUUGGAAGAAACUAUCAUUAAAUCAAACAUCUUAGCAUUGGCUGCAUAGUGGUUUUCUACUAAUAAGGAUUGUGCAGGUAUUCCCAAUGGCUUUAUAAUAUUGAAUCCUUAUGAAAUAGCUAAUCUUCAAAGCAAAAGGGCAACCCAGAGCACCGUAUAGAUUCAUCCUCCUUCAAAUACCUAUAAGCUCAACUUUGACGGAAGUUCCUUUGAAAAUCCAGGGACGACAGAUUUUGGAGCGCUUAUCAGAGGUCAUCUUGGACGAAUCCUAUUGUCUUACUCUGGUCCUUGUGGUAAUACAACAGUUAACGAAGCAAAAGCUAGAGGUUUAUUGGAGGGAAUUAAAUUGUUCUCAAAAUUGGAUGGUGGAAAGGUUUUUGAACGGGAUUCAACAAAUAUUAUAGCAUGGUAUAAAAGAGAAGUGACAGUUCCUUGAAGACUCUAUUCUAUUUUUCAUAAAAUUGGUGACAUUCUUCAGUCUAUUGAGUUUGGAAUGCACCACUACUACCGUG